GAUGAACGUUGGCGGUGUGCCUAAUACAUGCAAGUCGAACGGAGUUAAUAGCAAUAUUGACUUAGUGGCGAACGGGUGAGUAACGCGUUGGUGAUCUGCCUCAAAGUGUGGAAUAACGUUCCGAAAGGAACGCUAAUACCGCAUGUGCUCUCGAUUUUUAGAAAGUUGAGAGUAAAGGAUUUAUUCGCUUUGAGAGGAGCCUGCGUCCCAUCAGCUAGUUGGUAGGGUAAUAGCCUACCAAGGCGAUGACGGGUAGGGGACCUGAGAGGGUGGCCCCCCAAAUGGAACUGAAACACGGUCCAUACACCUACGGGUGGCAGCAGUAGGGAAUAUUAGUAAUGGGGCAAAGCCUGAACUAGCAACGCCGCGUGUGCGAAGAAGGCCUUCGGGUCGUAAAGCACUUUUUGAGAGGAUGAGGAAGGACGGUACUCUCAGAAUAAGUCUCGGCUAACUACGUGCCAGCAGCCGCGGUAAGAGUGUGUGUA
Molecule: ribosomal RNA, 485 nt
Filed under: uncultured bacterium
Lineage: Bacteria
Description: bacterial SSU rRNA
Rfam family: Bacterial small subunit ribosomal RNA
Source: RNAcentral